AGUGAGGGACAGAUGGCAAGUCUCAAUCUAUAUUGUCUGCCUUUAUGUCUAC
RNAcentral lists this microRNA precursor (52 nucleotides) under Mus pahari (shrew mouse). RNAcentral describes it as "microRNA 7233 (MGP_PahariEiJ_G0007170.1)". The record is from RNAcentral. Lineage: Eukaryota; Metazoa; Chordata; Mammalia; Rodentia; Muridae.